UAUCAAUGCAUUUCAUUCAGAAGAAAAUUCAGAUGUUCUUGUGACAAAAAGCUUCUCAGAAGGUAAUGUGGUUGCACCACCAGAACCAAAGCAGAAGGAAGACAAAGAUGAUUUUCAAGAGCCUGAAGUUGGGCACAAAAGCAAAAUGGAGACUAAAACUUCCAAAAGACAUGUUGGGGAAAGACUUCAUGAGAUC
Molecule: long non-coding RNA, 196 nt
Organism: Sarcophilus harrisii (Tasmanian devil)
Lineage: Eukaryota; Metazoa; Chordata; Mammalia; Dasyuromorphia; Dasyuridae
Exons: 3
Source: RefSeq, a predicted model, not a curated record